CCCUUAGAUGUUCUGGGCCGCACGCGCGCUACACUGACGAAUGCAACGAGCUUAUAACCUUGGCCGAUAGGUCUGGGUAAUCUUUGAACGCUGUUCGUGAUUGGGAUAGACCUUUGCAAUUAUGGGUCUUCAACGAGGAAUUCCUAGUAAACGCAAGUCAUCAGCUUGCAUUGAUUACGUCCCUGCCCUUUGUACACACCGCCCGUCGCACCUACCGAUUGAAUGGUCCGGUGAAAUCUCGGGACGGCGGCUUGGUCGCUUGCGUCCGACUGCUGAAACUUGAUUAAACCAUNUNAUUUAGNGGAAGGUGAANUCGUANCA
This 321-nucleotide ribosomal RNA is filed under the name uncultured eukaryote. RNAcentral's name for it is "partial 18S ribosomal RNA". It matches the Rfam family "Eukaryotic small subunit ribosomal RNA", at positions 1470 to 1796 of the family's 1831-position model. The record is from RNAcentral.